CUACGGGAGGCAGCAGUGAGGAAUUUUGCGCAAUGGGGGGAACCCUGACGCAGCAACGCCGUGUGAGUGAAGAAGGCCUUUGGGUCGUAAAGCUCUGUCAACUGGGAAGAAGUUACUGUGCUUUAAUAGAGUGCAGUAUUGACGGUACCAGUGGAGGAAGCGUCGGCUAACUCCGUGCCAGCAGCCGCGGUAACACGGGGGACGCAAGCGUUAUUCGGAAUUAUUGGGCGUAAAGGGCGCGUAGGCGGUCUUGUCGGUCAGGUGUGAAAGCCCGGGGCUCAACCCCGGACGGGCACUUGAAACAGCAAGACUUGAGUACGGGAGAGGAAAGCGGAAUUCCUGGUGUAGAGGUGAAAUUCGUAGAUAUCAGGAGGAACACCGAUGGCGAAGGCAGCUUUCUGGACCGAAACUGACGCUGAGGCGCGAAGGCGUGGGUAGCGAACGGGAUUAGAUACCCCGGUAGUC
Molecule: ribosomal RNA, 465 nt
Filed under: uncultured bacterium
Lineage: Bacteria
Description: partial 16S ribosomal RNA
Rfam family: Bacterial small subunit ribosomal RNA
Source: RNAcentral